GACUCGUUUAGCUUCAGUUGGUAGAGCAAUUGACUUUUUAAUCAAUGGGUCACUGGUUCGAAGCCCAGUUAACGGGUCA
RNAcentral lists this transfer RNA (79 nucleotides) under Streptococcus pneumoniae B1598. RNAcentral's name for it is "tRNA-Lys". It matches the Rfam family "tRNA". From Rfam's summary of the family: Transfer RNA (tRNA) molecules are approximately 80 nucleotides in length. Their secondary structure includes four short double-helical elements and three loops (D, anti-codon, and T loops). The record is from RNAcentral. Lineage: Bacteria; Bacillati; Bacillota; Bacilli; Lactobacillales; Streptococcaceae.